UACAGAGACUGCAAGCGUUAUUCGGAUUCACUGGGCGUAAAGGGUGCGCAGGCGGUCGGGUGUGUCAGAUGUGAAAUCCCGAGGCUCAACCUCGGAACUGCGUCUGAAACUACUCGACUAGAGUACUGGAGAGGGUAACGGAAUUCACGGUGUAGCAGUGAAAUGCGUAGAUAUCGUGAGAAACACCAGAGGCGAAGGCGGUUACCUGGACAGUUACUGACGCUCAGGCACGAAAGCAUGGGGAGCAAAAGGG
RNAcentral lists this ribosomal RNA (253 nucleotides) under uncultured bacterium. Its description in RNAcentral is "partial 16S ribosomal RNA". It matches the Rfam family "Bacterial small subunit ribosomal RNA", at positions 524 to 776 of the family's 1533-position model. The record is from RNAcentral.